AAAUUGAAGAGUUUGAUCAUGGCUCAGAUUGAACGCUGGCGGCAGGCCUAACACAUGCAAGUCGAACGGUAACAGGAAUCAGCUUGCUGAUUCGCUGACGAGUGGCGGACGGGUGAGUAAUGUCUGGGAAACUGCCUGAUGGAGGGGGAUAACUACUGGAAACGGUAGCUAAUACCGCAUAACGUCGCAAGACCAAAG
This 198-nucleotide ribosomal RNA is filed under the name Escherichia fergusonii. RNAcentral describes it as "partial 16S ribosomal RNA". It matches the Rfam family "Bacterial small subunit ribosomal RNA", at positions 1 to 206 of the family's 1533-position model. Lineage: Bacteria; Pseudomonadati; Pseudomonadota; Gammaproteobacteria; Enterobacterales; Enterobacteriaceae. The record is from RNAcentral.